UAUUACUUCAAGCAAAGCUGAUGCAGAGAGAUGAGCCAAUUGAGCAGGAGACAAUGUAAGCAGCUGUGGGGGUGUCGAGUACUCCCUCCUGCCUGUGGGAGCUGCACCGUGGAGUCUAGCUUGUCACCCUCCGGAGGCAGAGCCCCUCCUCCCUGCCUCCUCUUGGUCUAGAUGGACAGCCAUGGCAGCGGAGGCUGCAGAGCUGAGCAGGCCCAGCUGCAGCCUCCCAGCCUUUGGAACCCUGCUUCUCCAUCUUGGCCACACAUAGGAUCACCUGAGGAGCUCAAAGUCUACAGCCCAAGGUUGGUGAGAUGGGAACCACCCAGCACAGCGGGAUCUCCUUGGAACCUAAAUCCAGUGAUGGAAUCUUAUUGUCCACAGUCUUUUGUGGUAUGUGCUACCACCGAAGAUCCUCUCCUAACCUAUCAUGUGUUCAAUACGUCUCAGCUCCUAGACUUGCUGAAGCCGACGGAAUAAAAGAACCUCUCAACACUGGGGCCAAUACUGA
Long non-coding RNA from Homo sapiens (human), 508 nucleotides. The record is from Ensembl. NCBI's taxonomy places the organism in Eukaryota, Metazoa, Chordata, Mammalia, Primates, Hominidae.